This 441-nucleotide ribosomal RNA is filed under the name uncultured bacterium. Its description in RNAcentral is "partial 16S ribosomal RNA". It matches the Rfam family "Bacterial small subunit ribosomal RNA", at positions 338 to 795 of the family's 1533-position model. The record is from RNAcentral.
CCUACGGGCGGCAGCAGUGGGGAAUAUUGCACAAUGGGGGAAACCCUGAUGCAGCAACGCCGCGUGAGUGAAGAAGUAUUUCGGUAUGUAAAGCUCUAUCAGUAGGGAAGAAGAAAGACGGUACCUGACUAAGCAGCCCCGGCUAACUACGUGCCAGCAGCCGCGGUAAUACGUAGGGGGCAAGCGUUAUCCGGAUUUACUGGGUGUAAAGGGAGCGUAGACGGCUGUGCAAGUCUGAAGUGAAAGCCCGUGGCUCAACCGCGGAACUGCUUUGGAAACUGUAUAGCUGGAGUACUGGCGAGGCAGGCGGAAUUCCUAGUGUAGCGGUGAAAUGCGUAGAUAUUAGGAGGAACACCAGUGGCGAAGGCGGCCUGCUGGACAGAAACUGACGUUGAGGCUCGAAAGCGUGGGGAGCAAACAGGAUUAGAUACCCCGGUAGUC